GAUGAACGCUGGCGGCGUGCCUAAUACAUGCAAGUCGAGCGAACAGACGAGGAGCUUGCUCCUCUGACGUUAGCGGCGGACGGGUGAGUAACACGUGGAUAACCUACCUAUAAGACUGGGAUAAAUUCGGGAAACCGGAGCUAACACCGGAUAACAUGUUGAACCGCAUGGUUCAACAGUGAAAGACGGUCUUGCUGUCACUUAUAGAUGGAUCCGCGCCGCAUUAGCUAGUUGGUAAGGUAACGGCUUACCAAGGCAACGAUGCGUAGCCGACCUGAGAGGGUGAUCGGCCACACUGGAACUGAGACACGGUCCAGACUCCUACGGGAGGCAGCAGUAGGGAAUCUUCCGCAAUGGGCGAAAGCCUGACGGAGCAACGCCGCGUGAGUGAAGAAGGUCUUCGGAUCGUAAAACUCUGUUAUUAGGGAAGAACAAAUGUGUAAGUAACUAUGCACGUCUUGACGGUACCUAAUCAGAAAGCCACGGCUAACUACGUG
RNAcentral lists this ribosomal RNA (497 nucleotides) under uncultured bacterium. Its description in RNAcentral is "partial 16S ribosomal RNA". It matches the Rfam family "Bacterial small subunit ribosomal RNA", at positions 28 to 507 of the family's 1533-position model. The record is from RNAcentral.